RNAcentral lists this ribosomal RNA (273 nucleotides) under uncultured Staphylococcus sp. Its description in RNAcentral is "partial 16S ribosomal RNA". It matches the Rfam family "Bacterial small subunit ribosomal RNA", at positions 89 to 354 of the family's 1533-position model. Lineage: Bacteria; Bacillati; Bacillota; Bacilli; Caryophanales; Staphylococcaceae. The record is from RNAcentral.
ACGUUAGCGGCGGACGGGUGAGUAACACGUGGGUAACCUAACUAUAAGACUGGGAUAACUUCGGGAAACCGGAGCUAAUACCGGAUAAUAUUUCGAACCGCAUGGUUCGAUAGUGAAAGGUGGUUUUGCUAUCACUUAUAGAUGGACCCGCGCCGUAUUAGCUAGUUGGUAAGGUAACGGCUUACCAAGGCGACGAUACGUAGCCGACCUGAGAGGGUGAUCGGCCACACUGGAACUGAGACACGGUCCAGACUCCUACAGGAGGCAGCAGAC